This 495-nucleotide ribosomal RNA is filed under the name uncultured bacterium. RNAcentral's name for it is "partial 16S ribosomal RNA". It matches the Rfam family "Bacterial small subunit ribosomal RNA", at positions 28 to 507 of the family's 1533-position model. The record is from RNAcentral.
GACGAACGCUGGCGGCGUGCCUAAUACAUGCAAGUAGAACGCUGAAGGAGGAGCUUGCUUCUCUGGAUGAGUUGCGAACGGGUGAGUAACGCGUAGGUAACCUGCCUGGUAGCGGGGGAUAACUAUUGGAAACGAUAGCUAAUACCGCAUAAUAGUAGAUGUUGCAUGACAUUUGCUUAAAAGGUGCAAUUGCAUCACUACCAGAUGGACCUGCGUUGUAUUAGCUAGUUGGUGGGGUAACGGCUCACCAAGGCGACGAUACAUAGCCGACCUGAGAGGGUGAUCGGCCACACUGGGACUGAGACACGGCCCAGACUCCUACGGGAGGCAGCAGUAGGGAAUCUUCGGCAAUAGACGGAAGUCUGACCGAGCAACGCUGCGUGAGUGAAGAAGGUUUUCGGAUCGUAAAGCUCUGUUGUAAGAGAAGAACGAGUGUGAGAGUGGAAAGUUCACACUGUGACGGUAUCUUACCAGAAAGGGACGGCUAACUACGUG